Molecule: ribosomal RNA, 447 nt
Filed under: uncultured bacterium
Lineage: Bacteria
Description: partial 16S ribosomal RNA
Rfam family: Bacterial small subunit ribosomal RNA
Source: RNAcentral
AACGAACGCUGGCGGCAUGCCUAACACAUGCAAGUCGAACGCCCCGCAAGGGGAGUGGCGAACGGGUGAGUAACGCGUGGGAACCUACCCAGCAGUUGGGGAUAACCGCGGGAAACUGCGGCUAAUACCGAAUACGUCCUUAGGGAGAAAGAUUUAUCGCCGUUGGAGGGGCCCGCGUCGGAUUAGCUAGUUGGUGAGGUAACGGCUCAACAAGGCGACGAUCCGUAGCUGGUCUGAGAGGAUGAUCAGCCACACUGGGACUUAGACACGGCCCAGACUCCUACGGGAGGCAGCAGUGGGGAAUAUUGGACUAUGGGGGCAACCCUGAUCCAGCAAUGCCGCGUGAGUGAUGAAGGCCUUAGGGUUGUAAAGCUCUUUUACCGGGGACGAUGAUGACGGUACCCGGAGAAUAAGCCCCGGCUAACUUCGUGCCAGCCGCCGCGGUAA